Serendipita sp. 399 is the source of this 82-nucleotide non-coding RNA. The record is from the annotation of a GenBank genome assembly. Lineage: Eukaryota; Fungi; Basidiomycota; Agaricomycetes; Sebacinales; Serendipitaceae.
GGUUCUAUAGUGUAGUGGUUAUCACAACGGAUUCUGAUGUCUUCACAUUCCGUUAACCCCGGUUCGAGUCCGGGUAGGACCU